RNAcentral lists this unclassified non-coding RNA (205 nucleotides) under plant metagenome. Its description in RNAcentral is "partial contains small subunit ribosomal RNA and internal transcribed spacer 1". The stretch from base 1 to 47 matches the Rfam family "Eukaryotic small subunit ribosomal RNA", at positions 1786 to 1831 of the family's 1831-position model. The record is from RNAcentral.
AAGUCAUAACAAGGUUUUCUGUAGGUGAACCUGCAGAAGGAUCAUUAUUGAAUUGUAAAAAGUGGGGAGUUGCUUUCGAGCGCUCCUCUACAUUCCUUAUUCCUAACACCUGUGAAUCGUUGCUGAGUCCGCUCAGUGGCACUUUUUUUGACACACACAUAAAAAUGUAUAGAACGUAAAACUAUAUAAAAGUAAAAAAGUACAA